GGCCUCUGUGGUGUAGUGGUAGCACGCCCCAUUCCCCUCGGGUAUGGGUGAAACGCGGGUUCAACUCCCGCCCGAGGUCG
Parelaphostrongylus tenuis is the source of this 80-nucleotide non-coding RNA. The record is from the annotation of a GenBank genome assembly. NCBI's taxonomy places the organism in Eukaryota, Metazoa, Nematoda, Chromadorea, Rhabditida, Metastrongylidae.